ACUUGGGUAGUUCAGUCGACAGAGCGUGAGAUUCUUAAUUUCAGACUCCCAGAGUGGUGGGUUCGAGCCCCACACUGGAGAA
Molecule: non-coding RNA, 82 nt
Organism: Podarcis lilfordi (Lilford's wall lizard)
Lineage: Eukaryota; Metazoa; Chordata; Lepidosauria; Squamata; Lacertidae
Source: the annotation of a GenBank genome assembly